This 1058-nucleotide long non-coding RNA is filed under the name Heterocephalus glaber (naked mole-rat). RNAcentral's name for it is "lncRNA (ENSHGLG00100043556.1)". The record is from RNAcentral. Lineage: Eukaryota; Metazoa; Chordata; Mammalia; Rodentia; Bathyergidae.
CUGUUUUAUUUAUAAGCCUCUUGAGGGUAGAUUAUAAACCCACUAGUUUGAACUGUAACAGUAUGAAUAAAUGAUAGGAAAAGUAAACACACACCGUGCUAGCAGAGAAAUGAAUGUAUGACCUGCAUACACUUGAGUAAAGCCCGUUUCUUGAUUUUGCAGCAAGGUACUUCACCUGCAGAAAAACAUUUCAUUUGCUUUGGUUCUGAAGUGGGGAAGUUUUGCAGGGAAAAUUCGUGGGUAGGUUUUUCUGAGGCACUUUGUUCUCUCGUGGGGAAUUUCUUCUGUUGUCCCAACAAGAAGUCAUAGUAAUAAUUUACAUAUUAUUUGUGACAUGUAACUGUGGAAAAACCUGUAAUAUGGCAGAAUUGUAAUAUGGCAGAAUUUUGUGAGACUGAGCAAGUUACACGACUUCUCCGAGCCUUAUUUUUUGGAGCUAUGACACGGGCAGAAUGCUCUCGCAUACGUGCACAUGUUUGUGGGUAAAUUAAGCACACUGGGCGUUUCAAACACCUGGCCCAUAGUUGCAGUCAAUGUGAUUUCUGCAUUUCCCGGGUCCCUCCGACCGGUCCCAGGGACCUGAAUCCUCUACACAGCGCCUUUGGUGCGAGGCCAGGCACGGGGCAGGGCUCUCAGGGCUCACCUCGUGAAUCCUCACAACAAUCCUAGGAGGGCUGCAGCAGCAGUUUGCAUGUGAAGCUAAUGAGCUUUAAGCUCCGGGCCCUCUGUGUACCGAAGACUUCCAAGAGCCAGACUCGAACUGCGUCUUCUCCGUGCGACCUCCUCCCCCUGGCUGUUUUAAGUUUCCAGUCGCACAACACGUGGGUUCGCCGGGCUCGGUGUUAUCACUUCCCUCCUUUGGCACACAGGGUAAAGUUACGUCGCCCAAGAUCUCGCACUUCUGCGCGGCGGAGCGAGCCGCAGGGAGCCCGACUCGGAGCCCACACUCGAGUCGCCACCGCCGACGGCGAUGACCACGGCCUCGAGGGACAGGAUAAGAGGACGGCAAGUCUGCAAGGCCAUCUGUGUACCUGAGAGCCAGAGGGAUCUAAUAGCUG